UAGGGAAUCUUCCGCAAUGGACGAAAGUCUGACGGAGCAACGCCGCGUGAGUGAUGAAGGUUUUCGGAUUGUAAAACUCUGUUCUUAGGGACGAACAAGUGGGAUGGACUCCCACCCUGACGGUACCUAAGGAGAAAGCCCCGGCUAACUACGUGCCAGCAGCCGCGGUAAUACGUAGGGGGCGAGCGUUGUCCGGAAUUAUUGGGCGUAAAGCGCGCGUAGGCGGUUUCUUAAGUCUGGUGUGAAAGGCCACGGCUCAACCGUGGAAUGGCAUUGGAAACUGGGAGACUUGAGUGUAGGAGAGGAAAGUGGAAUUCCUGGUGUAGCGGUGAAAUGCGUAGAUAUCAGGAGGAAUACCAGUGGCGAAGGCGACUUUCUGGCCUAUAACUGACGCUGAGGUGCGAAAGCGUGGGGAGCAAACAGG
This 424-nucleotide ribosomal RNA is filed under the name uncultured Caryophanales bacterium. RNAcentral's name for it is "bacterial SSU rRNA". It matches the Rfam family "Bacterial small subunit ribosomal RNA", at positions 355 to 776 of the family's 1533-position model. Lineage: Bacteria; Bacillati; Bacillota; Bacilli; Caryophanales. The record is from RNAcentral.